AUACGGAAGGUCCGGGCGUUAUCCGGAUUUAUUGGGUUUAAAGGGAGCGCAGGCGGAGAUGCAAGCGUGACGUCAAAUUUCGGGGCUCAACCCCGUCUCGCGUCGCGAACUGCGUCCCUUGGUUGCGGGAAGGGGAGGCGGAACUCGUGGUGUAGCGGUGAAAUGCAUAGAUAUCACGAAGAACUCCGAUCGCGAAGGCAGCCUUCCGGCCCGUCAACGACGCACAUGCUCGAAGGUGCGGGUAUCAAACAGGAUUAGAUACCCUGGUAGUCCGCACAGUAAACGAUGGACACCCGCGGUUUGGCCUAUAUGGCUGAGCCGCCAAGCGAAAGCGUUAAGUGUCCCACCUGGGGAGUACGCCGGCAACGGUGAAACUCAAAUGAAUUGGCGGGG
This 393-nucleotide ribosomal RNA is filed under the name uncultured bacterium. Its description in RNAcentral is "partial 16S ribosomal RNA". It matches the Rfam family "Bacterial small subunit ribosomal RNA", at positions 523 to 918 of the family's 1533-position model. The record is from RNAcentral.